CACCGGGCUGGAAAAGGAAGAGCUGGGUGUAGUGGCUGUGAGAACUCAUCUCCUGAGCUGCACGUGAUGCCCCUGAAAGGCUGAAUGAGCUUGAAGCAGCUGUUUGGUAAAGCUGUUCUCCCCUGAGGGCACACUCAGUGGGGUGGCUCUGGCAAUUAGGGGCUGGACCUUAUUAUCAGCAUCUCAGCAGGGAGUGGGUCUUCCUCUGAAGAGGAGACUUGGCUUUGAUAGUAUGGUCUCCAGUAUUCUUCCUCUGUCAGGUAGCAGUUUGUCAAGAGCUGCUUUCUUAAAUAGCUUUAUCUCUAUCACAGUAUUAUAUGUGAUAGAUUCACACUCUAAUAUAUCACAUUCAUUAUAUGUGAUCUAUUAUAAUAUGAUAGUAUUAUCAUUGUUUUAAAUACUUGUACAGAAAGGCAGAUUAUUUUCUAAAAGCCAGAAUCUGACACCAAGUUUAUGAAAAGAUGUAGUCAAAAGCUUGUGAGAUACUAGACAUCUGGCACUGAUUAAGAAAUGUUAUUUGGAGCUACUAAAGGUAAUUGGUGAUAGAAGUAAUCUUUAUUCCAGUUUUCCAAAUGAGGUAACUGAGGCAUGGAAAAAUUAAGUGCCUUGUUCAGGGCUGUAUGGAACAGUCUUGGCCAUGGCUAGGAGCAGCUUACUAACCUCCAGUCCCAAGCCUUUUAGCUGUGUGUGUUCACUACUUUAUCCUGAUAAAAACUCAACCUCCAUUGCCGACGAGAAAACUCUGUGAGAGCAACUUCAGGAGGUUUCUUGUAAGCAGCAAAUUAAUGAAUACUGCUUUUCCAGUGGAUUUGCAUCCUGAAAGCUCAAAUUCUCAUCCUUAGCAGACUCCCAUGAUAGCAACACCUUCCUUCACAGCUCCCCCCAACACCUGCUUGUACCCCUGACCCAGCCACAGCCCCAGCAUCUCUGCUACUGUGGGAGAGCUGCUGGUGAUGACCAUCCUCUUGGGGAAGGAGGUGACUUUGUGUCGCUCUUAUUUACACAGUAGCUGACCUUCAUGGAGAGCCUGUAAGGUCAGCAGUGCCCUUUCAAGUCCUGCUCUGAAAUGCAGUUGGACAGGUUCAGCAGCCACUGGGAGAUCACAGUUUUCCCAGGGAACCAAGCUAAAGCUUGAGCUAAAGCACCUGCCACUGUCCAGAGCUGUGGGAAGCACUGUGGAUUUUCCUGGCAAGCUGGCAAGGGGGAUAUUUUGGAAAUAAUCAUGGAAACACAGAAUGCCUUGGUUGGAAGAUACUUUUCAGAUCAUCUAGUUCCAGCCCCACUGCCAUGGGCAAGGACACCUUUCACUAGACCAGGAAAUCUCAGCAAGGAUUACCAUGCUGCUUUGUGGGUGUUCCUCAGCAGCUUGCCAUCUCCCCAGUGAGCAUGUCCCUGCUGGAGGCCACAAAGCCAUGACUACCCUCAGCCACAGGCUAGUAGCCAUGGGAUCAAGUGCCAUCUUACCCUGGUACAGAACCUUGGGCAAGCUUCUCCCCACCCUAUGGUUUACCUCUCAGACUGAAGAACACUGGCAACAAGGAUUUAAUAAAAGUAAUUAAAAAGCUGUUAAUUA
This is a long non-coding RNA of Haemorhous mexicanus (house finch), 1573 nucleotides long. RefSeq lists it as uncharacterized. Lineage: Eukaryota; Metazoa; Chordata; Aves; Passeriformes; Fringillidae. The transcript has 2 exons. The record is from RefSeq and is a predicted model, not a curated record.